RNAcentral lists this long non-coding RNA (242 nucleotides) under Lathyrus oleraceus (garden pea). Its description in RNAcentral is "Pisum sativum (pea) long non-coding RNA (PSAT_LNC019547)". Lineage: Eukaryota; Viridiplantae; Streptophyta; Magnoliopsida; Fabales; Fabaceae. The record is from RNAcentral.
AAAAAACUACAUUACAAUAUUUAAAAUGAAAUAGUUAAACAAUAAUUCUAAAUAGACAAACAAAUACUUUAAUAUUCUUUUUAAAAUAUAAUUCUUAUUUAUAAACGAGGUUAUAUGUUAUAAAAUUUAACUUCAAAUAUUAAAUCUCAUUACAAUGCUAAAAAAAAACUAUCAAUCGUAUCUUUCAAAUUUACCUAUCUAUUAUAAUAUAUUAAAACUGAGUCUCACACUAUUUUAUUGAC